Molecule: long non-coding RNA, 229 nt
Organism: Daphnia pulicaria
Lineage: Eukaryota; Metazoa; Arthropoda; Branchiopoda; Diplostraca; Daphniidae
Exons: 2
Source: RefSeq, a predicted model, not a curated record
UUUUACGCUCCUUGUCCCGAAAGAACUAUCAAGAUGACCGAAUCGUCUGCAUCUGUGUCUUCUUUAAUGAUGGCAACGACCUGUUGUUUCCUUAUGGCCACUACGGCCCAAGGGACAAUAAGUCCUUGGCUAAAUAGGUCCCAGCAAUUUAAUCGCUUCUUCCUGGCCCGUCCAUUGUCGUCUGAGAACAAUUUCCAACUUGAUAACGAUUAUGACGGUCGCCUUAUGG